GGCACAGAAGCUGCAGAGCAACACAAAGGAUCCUGCGGGCUUGAACAAGGGGCUCGAACAAAAAGCAGUUACUCCACAGAAGACCAGAGGGGUCCUCCCAGCAUUGUGGCUCUGUGAGGAAACUGAGACCCAGAGAUGGAACUGGGAUUCAAAACAAUGUCUAGUGUGACUCCAGAGCCUUUCCUAACUCCUACUUAAAGCCUCUGAGGAAUGCUGAAAAGAGCACAGGACAUAGAAUCCAGGUUAAAAUGAUGAAAGUCAUCAACCUUAAAAGAAGCAAAAAAGAAGAGAAUUAGCUCCUCUGUGUAAUUUUUUUAAAUAUAGCAUCAAACCAUCUUCCCGUCAGCAACAGGCACUGCAGUAUUGAAGAUCAUCACAUGAGGGCAGAGGGCGUAAAAAAGGAUGGUGUGGUGAGACCAGAAGCAGCAGCAGUCCUCGACAUCAACUACAACUUUCCUUCGCACAGUGCAUACCCUCUGAUAUACUGAACCCAACGCCUAUCCUCCAGCCCCCUAAGAACUAGAGAGGGAGCCUCACAACAUUCCAAUUUAAUCCUUCAGAAAAUUCAUUACUCUUCAAAGUUGUCUGUGGUUUUGUGACAACGAUAUGACUAGGUGCAAAAUGGCUUGCAACUAAUUAACAAACAUAGAAGCAUCCAACAAACAUAUACGUGCACAAUCUGAGGAUUUAGGGAUGAAAUCAGUUAUCCAGGUUAGAUAUCAACAAAAGAGCAGUAAUUAUAAAGUUUCAUGAAGAAAGUGGCUGUUGAGGUGUGGAUUAUGUAAGUAAGACUGACAACAAGAAAUGAUUUUGUUAUAAUCCAGAAGUAAAACUAAAUAAAUGUUCUUUAAAUUGAUGGAUAAAUAAGAAAGAAUUUAUUUACAACAGUAAAUAAAUCCAAUACUUGUUAUAAAUAAGAUAAAGCUGGCUAUAAAUUCACAUUUUCAUGUGAGCGUUUUGAAGUAUGUGGACAUAAAAAACACACACCUCAAGCAUACUUCUCAAUGAUUUCUGAUAAAGAACACACCUUUGUAACCAGCACAUGGUGUAAAACCAGAAACAGAACAUUACCAGAUUCCUAAACAAGCCUUCUUUGUGCCCCUUUUUAGUCACUACCCUCCCCCAUUCAAGGUAACUUCUAUCUUGACUUCUAACACCACACUUUUAGUUUUGCCUAUUGUUAACUUGAUAUAAAUAGAAUGAUACUGUAUAUUUUGUGUGUGUUUGGCUUCUUCUGCUCCAACUUUUGUUGGUAAGGUUUAUACAGAUUAUUAAAUAUAGCUAUAGUUCAUUUAUUUCUAUUACUAUGCAGUAUACUUGGAUUCAGGAAUACACCAUAACUUAAUCAUCCAUUCUAUUGUUGACUGGUUUGGCAAUUUUCUAAACAUACGCAAAUUCUAUGAACCAGCAAUUCUAUCCCGUGUAUGUGUAUAUAUACACACAUGUUAAAUAUAUACACAGAAACAUGCUGUGAAAGUGCUUUGCAAAUGGCAAAAUGUAAAAUGUAAGGAAUGUUACCAAAGAGCUGAAACGCACUGUGUCUUUCUUGCAACACAGAUUCUUGGACAUAUCAGAUAAUAAAUGUAU
Molecule: long non-coding RNA, 1587 nt
Filed under: Homo sapiens (human)
Lineage: Eukaryota; Metazoa; Chordata; Mammalia; Primates; Hominidae
Description: HSALNT0059321
Source: RNAcentral